AAAAAGUUUUAUUCUUGCUAAAUAAUUAUCUCACGAUUAAUCUAUAUACAAAUUCUUGUCAUAAUUUUGAUUUUAAUAAUUAAUUGUUUCAGUGUAGUAGAAAAUAUUAUUCUUUAAAGAAAUUUAGAUAUAGUAUUUCGUGUUAUUCCCGGUUAAAGUCGUGCCAGCCACCGCGGUUAUACGUAGGGGGAAUAUAAUUAUUUUUGGUUUAUAGUCAAAUUUUAAUUUUCUUUAUAUUUAAUGUUUUUAGGUGAAAUUUUAACUUUAAGUGUUUUGAUUCGGGUUUGAAUCUAUGAAACUUAUUAUUUAAACAAGGAUUAGAUACCCUUUUAUCAUAAGUGUAAAUUAAUAAUCAGGGUAGUAAUAGUUAUGUUCUUGAAACUCAAAGAAUUUGGCGGUAUUUUAUUCUUUUUAGAGGAACCUGUCCUGUGAUCGACACUCCACGAUGAUGAGUUACUCCCCUUUGUUAUUCAGUUUGUAUACCUCCGUCAUAAGAGUAUCUUUUUAGAGUAAAUACUCAUAUUAUAGAAAAUAUUUGAUGUCAGGUCAAGGUGCAAUUGAUAGGUUAGAAGAGAUGGGUUACAAUGGAAUUAUUCAUAUGAAUUAAAAUAAUUAUUUAUUUUAUGAAGGUGGAUUUAAAAGUAAAAUUAAGGUCUAAUUAGUUUGAUUUUAGCUCUAGAAUAUGCACACAUCGCCCGUCGCUCUUAUUAUAAAAUAAGAUAAGUCGUAACAUAGUAGAUGUAUUGGAAAAUGUAUCUAGAUAGUAUC
Molecule: non-coding RNA, 768 nt
Filed under: Macromia manchurica
Lineage: Eukaryota; Metazoa; Arthropoda; Insecta; Odonata; Macromiidae
Source: RNAcentral